UUAUCGAGCCAAACCGGAGAGAGAAACAAACAUGACUCUCCCUUGUUCAAAAUCACAAGUGUUAAUGACGAAUUUCGAUUCAUCACUCUCUUUCUCUGUCGGUAUUGUUUUCAAUCCGAGAGUAAAACCCUCGCAAUCUUCCCUCUUAGAUCUAUCCACCAAGCUAUGAUCUACCUCUUGCCAAAAAAAAAAGCCAGCUAAGAUCUACCCACUGAGGUAUCUCAAUCCAUUUCUGCAAAUCUGAUGGUACAUCAGUCACCGACACGUCUCCGUCUCCUCCAAAUCUGAUGCCACUGAGGAUUUGUUUGAGAUUUUUAUGGGUUGACUCUCCUCUGCAGCCGUCGAUCCGCAACUCUUUCUCUGCGGCUUCUCACAAUUGGGUCACCAAUUCAGUUCUCUCUAUAUAUAUGUUGCAAUACUAGUGGAGAUUGAGGUUGCUUUAAUUGAAAUUAAAAUUCUAAUAUGUUGUUCAUGUACUGUGGACUCGAGUACAGUUGCAGUGGCAAUUGAAACUCUUAAGAAUCUUGAUUGAUUAUCUGUUUGAUUAUCAGGUGGUGCUAUGACUUUUGUUAGAAGAAUUCUUCAACCCAGUAAUUUGCUUUCAUACUUAAGUACGAGCUGCUGAAGUUAUUGUGAUUCAAACUAUGAGAUGUGAAAAUGCUCGUUGGGACUUGCUGCUAAAUUUGGCUCAGCAAGUGUAGCUGUUCCAGGAUAUCAAGAAGGCGCUAUUAAGACAAUUGCAGCA
Rosa rugosa (rugosa rose) is the source of this 745-nucleotide long non-coding RNA. RefSeq lists it as uncharacterized. NCBI's taxonomy places the organism in Eukaryota, Viridiplantae, Streptophyta, Magnoliopsida, Rosales, Rosaceae. The transcript is spliced from 6 exons. The record is from RefSeq and is a predicted model, not a curated record.